Pogoniulus pusillus (Red-fronted tinkerbird) is the source of this 750-nucleotide long non-coding RNA. RefSeq lists it as uncharacterized. Lineage: Eukaryota; Metazoa; Chordata; Aves; Piciformes; Lybiidae. The record is from RefSeq and is a predicted model, not a curated record. The transcript is spliced from 4 exons.
UGCUAAUGAGGUGGGAGUAGCUUCCCUUGGGACCCUCCCUCUUUAGCCUGGCAGAUACAUGUGAGUAGCGCCCCUUGCAGAGGGCUCUCUCCUGUCCCUUGCUAGCCCUGUUCCGUGGCCAUGGUUUCCAGGCUCAUUCUUUGCUCCGCUCCAUCACUGGGACCUGUGCCCCCUGGGCUGUGGCUGGUGCUGUCGCUGGGCUGUAUGCUCAUCUCCUGCAGGGAGAUGUUUCUGUGACAUGCACUGCUGCUCCUGGAGGAGGACAGGGCUCUUCAGGAAGGGUUUUGGUGCCAGAGCUGGGCAGACAGUCUGCAGAGCCCUGUGGCAAAGCUUGCUGGAGCUCUGCUCGUUGUUGAACCCCAAGGCAAGGGUGUCCUGGCAGGUCUCAGCUACUGCUCAGGCUGCAUUGCAGAGCUAUAACAUCAAGGGGUACACAUGGGCGAGGGACCCCUCACAGUGAAAUCACCUUGGGAGUGCACAGCCCUCGUCACCUCUCCAUCUCCACGUCCCAGCUGCACGGGCACAGCAAAUGAGUCUCUGGAGGCCUGUUCUCGCACUGCAGGAUGGCAGAAAACUUUCAUUGAAGUCAAUAGAAGUUACUCGUACCCUUAGGCAGAAGGCUGUGGUCCCAGGAAGCUGCUAGGGAGCUGUGAUUUAUGCUGUGUGUCGCAGGCUCGACCAAAGCCAGCGCCUGCCUCUUGGUAUAAUUCAAAACUAAAUGCACAUUUAUGUUUAAAAAGCCCUCAGUAA